Amphibalanus amphitrite is the source of this 1080-nucleotide long non-coding RNA. RefSeq lists it as uncharacterized. The record is from RefSeq and is a predicted model, not a curated record. The transcript is spliced from 3 exons. Lineage: Eukaryota; Metazoa; Arthropoda; Thecostraca; Balanomorpha; Balanidae.
CCCUGACACCGUGAGCCUGGAGCCCCUCACCAGGUGCCGUGGGCUGCAGUAUCUCGCCCUGCCCGGCGGUGUCCCUGACGCCGUGCUGGACAGUCUCAGCGGCUGCCCCGGGCUGAAGUACCUUACACUGGGGGACCGCCAGCGGCCGGCAGAGACGGCCUUCACAGCAGCAGGGGUCAGCAGACUGGUGAAGUCGUGUCGGGAGCUGUGCCAUCUGUCCCUUCACUGCACGGCAGACACCGGCCGGGCCGUGCUGACCGCCCUGAAGGAGGCGGACCUGGGCCGGCGAAGUUAUGUCUGGCCCCGUACCAUCGAUCUCAUUGUCCCCGAGGAGCUGUACCGUCAGCUGAAGAGCCAGGAAGGCGAUAGGGUCAAAGUGUUGAAGUGGAGGAUUGAUGCGCUGCACUACCGACCGUGCACUGUGCAGUGAUGAGCUGACUGCAGAGAGGCCGAGCCAGUCGGCCGGGGCCGCCAGCUGACUGCUGCCGUGUGUGCUGCACCAGCCGGCACUGAGAGCGGCGCCGGUCAGCCGGCACACGGCCCCUGUGUUCGCUCUAGUGUAGUCAUGUAGUUGUAGUAGUAGUAGUGUAGAUGUAGUAGUAGCACACGGAUGUGAUGUAGUGGGUAAUUACCGGGCGGGUAUUGUGGGUAAUUGGACGGUAGAUGUGAUGUAGUGGGUAAUUACCGGGUGGGUAUUGUGGGUAAUUGGACAGUGAAAAGUGAUGUGCUGGAGAGACUACCGAUCAUGUCAUUACGCUAUUCUGUAUGUAGAACACACGUCUCUGACCGUCCGACUCGGUUCACCGCGCCUGGUCCCGGCGGCACGGCCGGCCUCGGUCACGUGACCGUCCCCCGGUGGAGUCGGACGGCUCGGUCACGUGACCGCUCCCCCCGGGUCUGGCUGCACCUCGGCUCGGCGGUGCUGAGCGCCGUGCUGAGCGUGUUGUGACACGUCCACACGGACAGCUCUACUCGACUACUGGCUAGCUGCCGUCCGAGCUGGCAGUAGACACGCGGUGCCAGUUCAGACGGCGGCCGGCCGCGCCGCGCCCGCCCGCUCCGGUCCCGGCCGGCGGCCGU